UCUGACUUUCGCCUGCCUGGA
This 21-nucleotide non-coding RNA is filed under the name Caenorhabditis elegans. The record is from RNAcentral. Lineage: Eukaryota; Metazoa; Nematoda; Chromadorea; Rhabditida; Rhabditidae.